AUUGAACGCUGGCGGCAGGCUUAACACAUGCAAGUCGAGCGGGGUGAUGGUGCUUGCACUAUCACUUAGUGGCGGACGGGUGAGUAAUGCUUAGGAAUCUGCCUAUUAGUGGGGGACAACAUCUCGAAAGGGAUGCUAAUACCGCAUACGUCCUACGGGAGAAAGCAGGGGAUCACUUGUGACCUUGCGCUAAUAGAUGAGCCUAAGUCGGAUUAGCUAGUUGGUGGGGUAAAGGCCUACCAAGGCGACGAUCUGUAGCGGGUCUGAGAGGAUGAUCCGCCACGCUGGGACUGAGACACGGCCCAGACUCCUACGGGAGGCAGCAGUGGGGAAUAUUGGACAAUGGGGGGAACCCUGAUCCAGCCAUGCCGCGUGUGUGAAGAAGGCCUUAUGGUUGUAAAGCACUUUAAGCGAGGAGGAGGCUCUUUUGGUUAAUACCCAAGAUGAGUGGACGUUACUCGCAGAAUAAGCACCGGCUAACUCUGUGCCAGCAGCCGCGGUAA
RNAcentral lists this ribosomal RNA (503 nucleotides) under uncultured bacterium. RNAcentral's name for it is "partial 16S ribosomal RNA". It matches the Rfam family "Bacterial small subunit ribosomal RNA", at positions 30 to 523 of the family's 1533-position model. The record is from RNAcentral.